GGGAAUGCUGCAGCCUACCAUGCAAGUCGAGCGGUAGCACAGAGAGCUUGCUCUCGGGUGACGAGCGGCGGACGGGUGAGUAAUGUCUGGGAAACUGCCUGAUGGAGGGGGAUAACUACUGGAAACGGUAGCUAAUACCGCAUAACGUCGCAAGACCAAAGUGGGGGACCUUCGGGCCUCAUGCCAUCAGAUGUGCCCAGAUGGGAUUAGCUAGUAGGUGGGGUAACGGCUCACCUAGGCGACGAUCCCUAGCUGGUCUGAGAGGAUGACCAGCCACACUGGAACUGAGACACGGUCCAGACUCCUACGGGAGGCAGCAGUGGGGAAUAUUGCACAAUGGGCGCAAGCCUGAUGCAGCCAUGCCGCGUGUGUGAAGAAGGCCUUCGGGUUCAAAGCACUUUCAGCGGGGAGGAAGGCGAUAAGGUUAAUAACCUUGUCGAUUGACGUUACCCGCAGAAGAAACACCGGCUAACUCCGUGUCAUUAGCCGCGGUAAUACGGAGGGCGUCCGCGUUUAUCGGAAUGACUGAGCGUAAAGCGCACUCGGGUGGUCUGACAAGUCGGAUGUAAAAUCCCAGUCCUCUCCAUCGGAACAGUACACUAAACUGAUAGGUCUAGAUCCGCCGUAGACGUUUCAAUACACUGCUGCAGCUUCAAUCUCAUCUCUAGAGCUUAGGCCGGAAUCGGGGGCUGCUGUUCCAUCUUCGCCAUGGCCUUAGUAUUAGAAGGACAACCGACUCCACCAUGGUUACAAGUUAAAAGCAAUGAUCCAUAAAUCAAGAUAUACAGUGAUCACCGACCUUGUAAGCUUUCAUGAAUAUACCAGCAGACUGACUGAACAUCUAGUCGUCAGUCGAACUACUGUUAAUCUCGUUCAUGAUGUUGCUCAUGUCACUCAUGACGUUGAUUCCCAAAAUUCCCUCAAGACACUCUUUCAAUCUAUCGUAUCACAUGGAUACUCUCGAUCACUGUCUACGAUAAUCUCGAGAUUACUGCCAAUUUACUGCGGAUUUCCUCUAUUAUGCACAGAUUUGUUGGCUU
Molecule: ribosomal RNA, 1040 nt
Filed under: Klebsiella pneumoniae
Lineage: Bacteria; Pseudomonadati; Pseudomonadota; Gammaproteobacteria; Enterobacterales; Enterobacteriaceae
Description: bacterial SSU rRNA
Rfam family: Bacterial small subunit ribosomal RNA (bases 1-740)
Source: RNAcentral